CGAGGCGACCGGAUGGCCGCGACCGCACCGGGCAACCGAUGGGGUUGAGGAAAGUCCGAGCUCCACAGCGCAAGGUAGCGGGUAACGCCCGCCCGCCGCGAGGCGAGGACGAGCGCCACAGUGACGAAGCCGGGCAAAGCCCUUCGGGCUUCGCCUAGGAGUGAAACGAGGCAAGCUCUACCUGGAGCAAGGCCAAGUAGGAGGGCGCAACCCGGUUCGCCGGGGGAGAGGCGCGCUGCCCAGCCCUCGGGUCGGCCGCACGAGCCGGCGGGCAACCGCCGGCCUCAGAUGGAUGGCCAUC
Molecule: RNase P RNA, 301 nt
Filed under: Chloroflexota bacterium
Lineage: Bacteria; Bacillati; Chloroflexota
Description: Chloroflexi bacterium partial RNase P RNA component class A
Rfam family: Bacterial RNase P class A
About the family: Ribonuclease P (RNase P) is a ubiquitous endoribonuclease, found in archaea, bacteria and eukarya as well as chloroplasts and mitochondria.
Source: RNAcentral